GACGAACGCUGGCGGCGUGCUUAACACAUGCAAGUCGAACGGAAAGGCCCUGCUUUUGCGGGGUGCUCGAGUGGCGAACGGGUGAGUAACACGUGAGUAUCCUUCCCUUGACUGUGUGAUAACUUCAGGAAACUGGGGCUAAUACCGGAUAGGAGCUCCUGCUGCAUGGGGGGGGUUGGAAAGUUUAGGCGGUUGGGGAUGGACUCGGGGCUUAUCAGCUGGUUCGUGGGGUAGUGGCUUCCCAAGGCUUUGGCGGGUAGCCGGCCUGGGAGGGGGACCGGGGACCAGGCUCCUGAGGUACGCACCAGUGUGGAACAGUAGGCAGCGGUGGGGAGUAUUGUCCAAUCAGGGCGAGCGUGAUGAGAAGAUGCCCCGUUCGGGAUGCCGGCCAUCGGGGUGGAAAGCGCAUUAAGCUAUGACGAAGCGUGAUUGACGGUACUGAGUGAAGAAGCACCGGCUAACUACGUG
RNAcentral lists this ribosomal RNA (468 nucleotides) under uncultured bacterium. RNAcentral describes it as "partial 16S ribosomal RNA". It matches the Rfam family "Bacterial small subunit ribosomal RNA", at positions 28 to 507 of the family's 1533-position model. The record is from RNAcentral.